This 84-nucleotide transfer RNA is filed under the name Candidatus Omnitrophota bacterium. RNAcentral's name for it is "Candidatus Omnitrophica bacterium tRNA-Leu". It matches the Rfam family "tRNA". Rfam says of the family: Transfer RNA (tRNA) molecules are approximately 80 nucleotides in length. Their secondary structure includes four short double-helical elements and three loops (D, anti-codon, and T loops). The record is from RNAcentral. Lineage: Bacteria; Pseudomonadati; Candidatus Omnitrophota.
GCCGAGGUGGCGGAACUGGUAGACGCGCAUGGUUGAGGGCCAUGUCCCUUUAUUGGGAUGGGGGUUCAAGUCCCCCCUUCGGCA